GGAUGUGAGGGUGAUCUGGCUGCAACAUCUGUCACCCCAUUGAUCACCAGGGUUGAUUGCACUGACCUGGCUGGCUAGGCAGGUGUCCCUUUCUUCCCCCACUACUUCAUGUCAUCCCUCUUGAAGCCACAUGCUGGGUUGAAGAGGGUAAUCUUCCUGGAUAGAGUUGGAUCAUUCUUCAGAUUAGUUACUAUGCUCCCAUACUAGAACCUCCAAACAGGCUCUCAAAAAACCAAAAACCAAUAAAGGUCUCCCAUGUAAAUGACUCCAGACUAAAUCAUUUAUUUUU
Molecule: small nuclear RNA, 289 nt
Filed under: Propithecus coquereli (Coquerel's sifaka)
Lineage: Eukaryota; Metazoa; Chordata; Mammalia; Primates; Indriidae
Description: 7SK RNA (ENSPCOG00000005608.1)
Rfam family: 7SK RNA
About the family: 7SK was discovered as an abundant small nuclear RNA in the mid-70s but a possible function has only recently been suggested. Two independent studies have found that 7SK RNA binds the CDK9/cyclin T complex (known as elongation factor P-TEFb). P-TEFb activates transcription by phosphorylating the C-terminal domain of RNA polymerase II.
Source: RNAcentral